Molecule: long non-coding RNA, 468 nt
Filed under: Elaeis guineensis (African oil palm)
Lineage: Eukaryota; Viridiplantae; Streptophyta; Magnoliopsida; Arecales; Arecaceae
Description: long non-coding RNA (EGUI_LNC029700)
Source: RNAcentral
AUAAUAGGGAUGUGUAUUCAGUCAAAAUCAGUACAUCAAGAGCUUGCUGGCACAGUGGUGCAAAUGAUUUUUGAUAAUAUUAGUGAUGUAAAGGAGUUUAGGUUUCUUUUCACUAUCAUCAACUCAGAAAAUCUCCACUAGCAUCUGGUGGCAGUUAACAUGAUGCAAAAAUGCUUUCUCCACCUAAACUUUAUAAAGUAUAGCAUCAAGUACAAAGCUGAUGCCAAGAAGUGGCAAAAGAUUUUUGAAAGAAUAUUCCAUAUUUUUUGUGACAAUACAAAGGUAUAGAAAUGAAAGAUGGAGGAAGAUUAGAACUAUCUUUCCUAACCCCCUGCUUUCUAGACUAUGGUCUGUACUAUCUAAAGUAUAUAGAUUUUCUUACUCGCAAGGAUAGGCCACAUCAAUGAAACUUUAUAGGAGAUGACAUCCUUCAAUACCAAUGGGAGCUUGGAGCAAGAAUUCUAAAGG